Non-coding RNA from Triticum aestivum (bread wheat), 135 nucleotides. Lineage: Eukaryota; Viridiplantae; Streptophyta; Magnoliopsida; Poales; Poaceae. The record is from Rfam.
GAGAUGCUCCCUCUGUCUCAAAAUUCUUGUCUUAGAUUUGUCCAAAUAUGGAUGUAUCAAGUCACAUUUUAGUAUUAGGUACAUCCGUAUCUAGAGAAAUGUAAGACAAGAAUUUUGGGACGGAGGGAGUACAUG